AAACUUUAUUGCACAACUGCUGUUUUACAUUUUAUCCAGAUUACAGCGUUAGUCUGGAUACCCCUGUGAUUAGUUACUGAACUUCCAGGGAAUAAAAGUUCAGCAAAUAAAUAUAAAUGUUAAUUUUACAAUUUCCUACAUUAUUUCAUUCCUAAACAUAAUAUAUUUCUAAGUUGGUGUCACAUGUUUACGGAUCAAAAUCAUUCUACUCACCGGGUUUGACUUGUUUUUCUAGAAUCGAUUUUUUAUCAUUGACCUUUUGACCCAAUCAAAUUUUGAACAGGUGUAUGAAACCGUUAGGAAAGAACAUGGUUUCUGUUAACUUUCUAUUCAUUCGAACAUUUUGGAUUUACUUUAAUUAAGUUUGUUCACUUUCGCCCUGAACUCCUUGAAAUAACUGCACUCUAUGUAAUUAUGAAGACAAUUGAUCAUCAUUGGAAAUAUUUGUGAUGUCAUUUAACAAGACCGAAGCAAUACUUUCCUGCUGUUUGUUUACAUUCUUGCAACAACAAUAACAUUGUGAUAAAGCGACUAUCCGUACCUUGGACAAUAUAGAUUUACUUCUUACAUGCAUUACUGAAAGAUGAUACGUUACUAGAUUAUUAUGGUGCACCUUAAGUAGAUUAAUAUUCGAAUCAUAUGGAACAAGUAUAUGUGACCACUGUUUGGAGUCUCGUUCUUAACGUAGA
This is a long non-coding RNA of Mytilus californianus (California mussel), 689 nucleotides long. RefSeq lists it as uncharacterized. NCBI's taxonomy places the organism in Eukaryota, Metazoa, Mollusca, Bivalvia, Mytilida, Mytilidae. The record is from RefSeq and is a predicted model, not a curated record. The transcript is spliced from 3 exons.